This 460-nucleotide ribosomal RNA is filed under the name uncultured bacterium. RNAcentral describes it as "partial 16S ribosomal RNA". It matches the Rfam family "Bacterial small subunit ribosomal RNA", at positions 338 to 795 of the family's 1533-position model. The record is from RNAcentral.
CCUACGGGGGACAGCAGUGAGGAAUAUUGGUCAAUGGGCGGGAGCCUGAACCAGCCAAGCCGCGUGAAUGAAGAAGGCGCCAGGCGUCGUAAACUUCUUUUGUCGGGGAACCAAGGGCGCCACGUGUGGCGUUGUUAGUGUACCCUAAGAAAAAGCAUCGGCUAACUCCGUGCCAGCAGCCGCGGUAAUACGGAGUAUCCAAGCGUUAUCCCGAUUUAUUGGGUUUAAAGGUUGCGUAGGCGGUUUGAUAAGUUAGAGGUGAAAUACCGGUGCUCAACACCGGAACUGCCUCUAAUACUGUUGAACUAGAGAGUAGUUGCGGUAGGCGGAAUGUAUGGUGUAGCGGUGAAAUGCUUAGAGAUCAUACAGAACACCGAUUGCGAAGGCAGCUUACCAAACUAUAUCUGACGUUGAGGCACGAAAGCGUGGGUAACAAACAGGAUUAGAUACCCCAGUAGUC